CGCCUGGGGAGUGCGGCCGCAAGGUUAAAACUCAAAUGAAUUGACGGGGGCCCGCACAAGCGGUGGAGCAUGUGGUUUAAUUCGACGCAACGCGAAGAACCUUACCUGGCCUUGACAUGCAGAGAACUUUCCAGAGAUGGAUUGGUGCCUUCGGGAACUCUGACACAGGUGCUGCAUGGCCGUCGUCAGCUCGUGUCGUGAGAUGUUGGGUUAAGUCCCGUAACGAGCGCAACCCCUAUCCCUAGUUGCUAGCAGUUCGGCUGAGAACUCUAGGGAGACUGCCGGUGACAAACCGGAGGAAGGUGGGGAUGACGUCAGGUCAUCAUGGCCCUUACGGCCAGGGCUACACACGUGCUACAAUGGUGCGUACAGAGGGCUGCAAACCCGCGAGGGGGAGCUAAUCUCACAAAACGCAUCGUAGUCCGGAUCGGAGUCUGCAACUCGACUCCGUGAAGUCGGAAUCGCUAGUAAUCGCGAAUCAGAAUGUCGCGGUGAAUACGUUCCCGGGCCUUGUACACACCGCCCGUCACACCAUGGGAGUGGAUUGCACCAGAAGUGGUUAGUCUAACCUUCGGGAGGACGAUCCACCA
RNAcentral lists this ribosomal RNA (590 nucleotides) under Marinobacter sp. RNAcentral describes it as "bacterial SSU rRNA". It matches the Rfam family "Bacterial small subunit ribosomal RNA", at positions 870 to 1459 of the family's 1533-position model. Lineage: Bacteria; Pseudomonadati; Pseudomonadota; Gammaproteobacteria; Pseudomonadales; Marinobacteraceae. The record is from RNAcentral.